AACGAACGCUGGCGGCAGGCCUAACACAUGCAAGUCGAGCGCGCCCUUCGGGCUUACCGGCGGACUGGUGAGUAACGCGUGGGAACGUGCCCUUUUCUACGGAAGAUCCUCGGGGAACUGAGAGUAAUACCGGAUACGCCCUUUGGUGGAAAGAUUGAUCGGAAUAGGAUCGGCCCGCGUUGGAUUGGGUAGUUGGUGGGGUAAUUGCGUACCAAGCCGACGAUACAUAGCUGGUUAGAGAGGAUGGUCAGCCACACUGGUACUGAGACACGGCCCAGACUACUACGGGAGGGAGCAGUGGGGAAUCCUAGAAAACGGGGGCAACCCUGAUCUAGCCAUGACGGGUGAGUGAUGAAGGUUUGAGGGUUGUAAAGCUAUUUCAGAUGGGAAGAUAAUGACGUUACCAGCAGAAGAAGCACCGGCUAACUCCGUG
Molecule: ribosomal RNA, 433 nt
Filed under: uncultured bacterium
Lineage: Bacteria
Description: partial 16S ribosomal RNA
Rfam family: Bacterial small subunit ribosomal RNA
Source: RNAcentral